Long non-coding RNA from Halichondria panicea, 1365 nucleotides. RefSeq lists it as uncharacterized. The record is from RefSeq and is a predicted model, not a curated record. NCBI's taxonomy places the organism in Eukaryota, Metazoa, Porifera, Demospongiae, Suberitida, Halichondriidae. The transcript has 4 exons.
CUAGAGCUUGCAAAUUUUGCUUUCUUUUGGCUAUAUAAGUCACUAAGAGGUUUGUCAUGGUGGACGCCUUUGUCUUUCACUUCACCCCAAACUUUUUCCAGCUCCUGAGAACUUGCAGCAGCUUGAACUCUGUACACAAGGCUAGCUGUUGGCCAACCUUUUCUUGUAGCCCAUAAUAGCCCAGUCUUUUUGUGAGUUUAUCUUACAGCCGUCAACAGCGCAGAGGUCACUGACCUGCAUGUGUACACGUGUACGUGUAAGAUGGGAAUCUCGUGCCUAUUAUAAACUGUAUAUGCAUUAGCAUCAAAACAAGACCUGCAUCAGCACGGCCUUUGCAUCCUGCAAAUGUGUAACCUUGAUCCCCUGUGAAGGAGGUUAGCAAAUUUACUAGGAAAAUUAAUGCACAAUACACUUAUGCUAGGCAGAAAAGGCUGCGUGGUCUACGCUUUUGCCAUCAAUAUUGAACUGAUCACAGAACUCUGGUGCGAACUUUGUGAUAUGGGGUUCCCUAACAGCUACAGAAUGCAUCUUUCCUUUUGACAAUCCAAGCUCUAGUUGAGGCCACUCAACAAUAUUUGCUGGCAUACCUGACUUCUGUCCAGCUUGCAAUGGAACCUGGUCCCAGUGUGUUUCUCCACUUCCUCUAAGCUGACUUGGAACUGUGUGAGACUAACAUCCUUUAUCGGCUCGUUGGGGACCACAAAGGCACCUAGCAAUGGUGGAGAGUCAGGUCUGUCUUCAGCAAGUAUGAUCUUAAAGAGAUGUGUUGGCACUGCCACAUUGUUCUCUCCUAUCACCUGAAGGACAAGAAGCACGACAAUUGACACGAGGACAUGUGCGCUAGCUUUAUAUACUGACUUCAUACUUGACAAAGCUUUUCUCUCCCUCUGUGUCCCUCUGUGGCAAGAACAGUGGACCGGAGAUUACACUGACUUGAGUGUACCUCUUAGAGAGUCUUCUGCAGUAAUCUUCAACACUGUUCCAAUAUCUAUGAGGAAAAUCAGACACUAAAAGCUGGAAGAAAAUGGAUAGGCAAUAAUACACGAAAAGUUCUGUGGGACAAUGUUGGUCAGUAGGAAAGUAUCAUCCAUAGAGUUCUGACAGUGCUUGUAGUUACCGGCGGGGGCCAUGUGACCUCGGCUCCAUCCACUCCCACGAUAAUCAGUGUUCGAAGAACAAUACUCUUGUGGUAAUUUCGGAUCAGGUUGGAACUCAGAUCUUGCUCGCUUUGCUAGUCGACUUGUCACCAUGUCUUUAUUAAUACAUUCAGCAACCCAUACAGGUAUCUUCUUUGAUCGAUCGUAUGUCAGAGAGUGGUCAGUGUAGGAGUGGGCAGAGAUGUGCGGCUCAGGGUACCCAUACCUG